CGCGUAGGCGGGUUCUCCAGUCAGGGGUGAAAUCGUUCGGCUCAACCGGACAAGUGCCCCUGAUACUGAGAGUCUCGAGGGAGGUAGGGGCAUGUGGAACUUCCGGUGGAGCGGUGAAAUGCGUAGAUAUCGGAAGGAACGCCGGUGGCGAAAGCGACGUGCUGGACCUCUUCUGACGCUGAGGCGCGAAAGCCAGGGGAGCAAACGG
This 208-nucleotide ribosomal RNA is filed under the name uncultured bacterium. RNAcentral's name for it is "partial 16S ribosomal RNA". It matches the Rfam family "Bacterial small subunit ribosomal RNA", at positions 568 to 775 of the family's 1533-position model. The record is from RNAcentral.